Molecule: long non-coding RNA, 1283 nt
Organism: Cloeon dipterum
Lineage: Eukaryota; Metazoa; Arthropoda; Insecta; Ephemeroptera; Baetidae
Exons: 3
Source: RefSeq, a predicted model, not a curated record
ACUUCCACUUGCGGUUCCGCGCGCCCAGCACAUGUGUCUAUAAACACCAGACUCUACAAAAUCCAGAGUUGCCACGAAAAUUGAAAUUGAGGCACACUUUUGGCCCAAUUACACGCACCGAUCGCCUUAAUUUGAACUCGAGGACAAGAACUUCAGGAGAAACACAUUAAUAAGAUUAAAAGAGGGUCUGCCGAGAUGAGUAUGCGAGACGCUAUUGAUGGACGAGUUGCAAGAGUGAGAAAUUAUCUGACAACCCCUGCUGCCGACAGAGCCACGAAAACUCUCGAGCGUUUAGAUGAAGAAAUACUGCGUUACCCGAGCGACGAGGAGGAGAACUCGCGUAAUAAGCAGCUGGAGAAAGACAUGGCCGCGCAGUUUCGAGGUAGAAGUGGACGAUGCUACUUUACGCACUUGCUGCUCGACUCAAGGGUGAUCAGUCGAAUUCAGUGGAACGACGCGACCCCGGAGCAAAAGUGGACAACUUUUCUCAACAGCAUUUUUUAUGUGGGAAAGGGCAAGAAUUUAAGGCCCCACGAGCACCUCAGAGAGGCCUACGAUGUUCUGACAGCUAGCAAAAGUGUAGAUGAAAAGGUCAGGGAAAUGGAGAAAAAAAAUAAAAAUAUCGCAAAAAUCGUGCACAUUCUGAAAAUCUGGUCGGAAGGCGGCGGCGUGAUAAUCAUCAAGGCCUUCGGAUUCAUCAGAUCUAAAGAGGCAUUCACCAGGGAGGCAGUCAUGAUUGAAACCCUAGGGUUUCCGAGUUUGUGCAACAAAAUUCGCAGCACGUAUCACGCUGGAGGAGUGGUGAAAAAUUUGCCUCCAGAUCAGAAAUUAAGCUUCGGCAAAUAUCUGCUGUUAAAAGCAAUGAGGGAAUUGACUGCAGACAAGAUACCGAUCACCCCGUACACGUUAUAACAUUAAUUUAGUCUGUUUAAUUGGUUGUCCAUUAUUUUUAAUGUGGAAAAUGAAUUGGUUAACAACAAAUUGUAAUGUACGCAUGAUGGUAAUUAUUGAAACGAUUUAAUUUAUUAUUAGAUGUCUCAGCAGCCGCAAAAUAUAAGGUGGCGGCUGGUGGCUGGCGCGGCCGACAAAAUUUUUAACCUUUGCAAAAGACAUUUUUUUCUGCUGCACUUUUAUUUUUUUACCCUUAUUCAAGGGUGGCUGGCGGCUGCCCAUGUAACCCAAAAUUACCGGCUGGCUCUGUUUUUAUUAUUUCAAUUAAAAAAAUCGUGUUAAUGUAUAUCGUGUGAUUUUUACUUUAAAAAUAAAAUUAUACGCGAAAUUGA